This 305-nucleotide ribosomal RNA is filed under the name uncultured bacterium. RNAcentral's name for it is "bacterial SSU rRNA". It matches the Rfam family "Bacterial small subunit ribosomal RNA", at positions 335 to 659 of the family's 1533-position model. The record is from RNAcentral.
UUUCCUCGGGACGCAGCAGUGGGGGAUAUUGCACAAUGGAGGAAACUCUGAUGCAGCGACGCCGCGUGAGGGAAGACGGUCUUCGGAUUGUAAACCUCUGUCCUUGGGGAAGAAAAUGACGGUACCCAAAGAGGAAGCUCCGGCUAACUACGUGCCAGCAGCCGCGGUAAUACGUAGGGAGCGAGCGUUGUCCGGAAUUACUGGGUGUAAAGGGAGCGUAGGCGGGCGAGAAAGUUGAAUGUUAAAUCUACCGGCUUAACUGGUAGCUGCGUUCAAAACUUCUUGUCUUGAGCGAAGUAGAGGCG